CCUACGGGUGGCAGCAGUAGGGAAUCUUCCACAAUGGGCGAAAGCCUGAUGGAGCAACGCCGCGUGGGUGAAGAAGGUUCUCGGAUCUGAAAACCCCUUUUUUAGAGAAGAAAGUGCGUGAGAGUAACUGUUCACGUUUCGACGGUAUCUAACCAGAAAGCCACGGCUAACUACGUGCCAGCAGCCGCGGUAAUACGUAGGUGGCAAGCGUUAUCCGGUUUUAUUGGGCGUAAAGGGAACGCAGGCGGUCUUUUAAGUCUGAUGUGAAAGCCUUCGGCUUAACCGGAGUAGUGCAUUGGAAACUGGGAGACUUGAGUGCAGGAGAGGGAAGUGGAACUCCAUGUGUAGCGGUGAAAUGCGUAGAUAUAUGGAAGAACACCAGUGGCGAAGGCGGCUCUCUGGUCUGUAACUGACGCUGAGGUUCGAAAGCGUGGGUAGCGAACAGGAUUAGAUACCCGAGUAGUC
Molecule: ribosomal RNA, 465 nt
Filed under: uncultured bacterium
Lineage: Bacteria
Description: partial 16S ribosomal RNA
Rfam family: Bacterial small subunit ribosomal RNA
Source: RNAcentral